AACAAACGCUGGCGGCGCGUUUUAAGCAUGCAAGUCGGACGGCAAGAGCUGUAGCAAUAUGGCUCCUAGAGUGGCGAACGGGUGAGUAACACGUAGGUGAUCUACCUUUGGAUGGGGGAUAGUCCGUGGAAACACGGGGUAAUACCGCAUGAGGCCUUGUGGGUAGAGCCAUGAGGUGAAAGGUGCAAUUGCACCGUCUGGGGAUGAGCCUGCGGUCCAUUAUGGUAGUUGGCGGGGUAAAGGCCCACCAAGCCUCCGAUGGAUAGCCGGCCUGAGAGGGUGUACGGCCACACUGGAACUGAGACACGGUCCAGACUCCUACGGGAGGCAGCAGCUAAGAAUCUUCCGCAAUGGGGGAAACCCUGACGGAGCGACGCCGCGUGGACGAUGGAGGCCGUAAGGUUGUAAAGUCCUUUUCCUGGUGAAGAAUAGCCCGAGGAGUGGAAAGCCUUGGGGAUGACGUUAGCCAGGGAAUAAGCCCCGGCCAAUUACGUGCCAGCAGCCGCGGUAAAGAGU
This 516-nucleotide ribosomal RNA is filed under the name uncultured bacterium. Its description in RNAcentral is "bacterial SSU rRNA". It matches the Rfam family "Bacterial small subunit ribosomal RNA", at positions 29 to 528 of the family's 1533-position model. The record is from RNAcentral.